AGGAGGUUUGAUCCUGGCUCAGAUUGAACGCUGGCGGUAUGCUUAACACAUGCAAGUCGAACGGUAACAGGCAGAGCUUGCUCUGUGCUGACGAGUGGCGGACGGGUGCGUAACGCGUGGGAAUCUACCUUAUAGUGGGGGAUAGCCCGGAGAAAUCCGGAUUAAUACCGCAUAAUCUCUACGGAGCAAAGUGGGGGAUCUUCGGACCUCACGCUAUUAGAUGAGCCCGCGUUAGAUUAGCUUGUUGGUGAGGUAAUGGCUCACCAAGGCGACGAUCUAUAGCUGGUUUGAGAGGAUGAUCAGCCACACUGGGACUGAGACACGGCCCAGACUCCUGCGGGAGGCAGCAGUGGGGAAUAUUGGACAAUGGGCGCAAGCCUGAUCCAGCAAUACCGCGUGUGUGAAGAAGGCCUGAGGGUUGUAAAGCACUUUCAAUAGGGACGAAAAGCUUAGGGUCAAUAACCCUGAGUCUUGACUUAACCUAUACAAGAAGCACCGGCUAACUCCGUGCCAGCAGCCGCGGUAAUACGGAGGGUGCAAGCGUUAAUCGGAAUUACUGGGCGUAAAGCGCUCGUAGGCGGUUUGUUAAGUCGGAUGUGAAAGCCCCGGGCUCAACCUGGGAACUGCAUUCGAUACUGGCAGACUAGAGUAUAGUAAAGGCAAGUGGAAUUCCGGGUGUAGCGGUGAAAUGCGUAAAUA
RNAcentral lists this ribosomal RNA (699 nucleotides) under uncultured bacterium. Its description in RNAcentral is "bacterial SSU rRNA". It matches the Rfam family "Bacterial small subunit ribosomal RNA", at positions 1 to 696 of the family's 1533-position model. The record is from RNAcentral.